This 325-nucleotide ribosomal RNA is filed under the name uncultured eukaryote. RNAcentral describes it as "partial 18S ribosomal RNA". It matches the Rfam family "Eukaryotic small subunit ribosomal RNA", at positions 1470 to 1796 of the family's 1831-position model. The record is from RNAcentral.
CCCUUAGAUGUCCUGGGCCGCACGCGCGCUACACUGAUGCAUUCAACGAGUAUUUCCUUGGCCGAGAGGCCUGGGCAAUCUUUUAAACCUGCAUCGUGAUAGGGAUAGAUUAUUACAAUUAUUAAUCUUGAACGAGGAAUUCCUAGUAAACGCAAAUCAUCAAUUUGCAUUGAUUACGUCCCUGCCCUUUGUACACACCGCCCGUCGCACCUACCGAUUGAAUGGUCCGGUGAAAUUUCGGGAUUGUGGCCAGUUCACUUUAUUGGGAGUUGGCUGCGAGAACUUGCUUAAACCUUAUCAUUUAGAGGAAGGUGAAGUCGUAACA